UAACGCGUGGAGAACCUGCCGUAUACUGGGGGAUAACACUUAGAAAUAGGUGCUAAUACCGCAUAAGCGCACAGCUUCGCAUGAAGCAGUGUGGAAAACAAAAAGCUAAAGCUUUUGGUGGUAUACGAUGGAUCCGCGUCUGAUUAGCUAGUUGGCGGGGUAAAGGCCCACCAAGGCGACGAUCAGUAGCCGGCCUGAGAGGGUGAACGGCCACAUUGGGACUGAGACACGGCCCAAACUCCUACGGGAGGCAGCAG
RNAcentral lists this ribosomal RNA (257 nucleotides) under uncultured bacterium. Its description in RNAcentral is "partial 16S ribosomal RNA". It matches the Rfam family "Bacterial small subunit ribosomal RNA", at positions 111 to 354 of the family's 1533-position model. The record is from RNAcentral.